This 485-nucleotide ribosomal RNA is filed under the name uncultured bacterium. RNAcentral's name for it is "partial 16S ribosomal RNA". It matches the Rfam family "Bacterial small subunit ribosomal RNA", at positions 28 to 523 of the family's 1533-position model. The record is from RNAcentral.
GACGAACGCUGGCGGCGUGCUUAACACAUGCAAGUCGAACGGUGUCCUCGGAGCUUGCUCCGCUGGAUCAGUGGCGAACGGGUGAGUAACACGUGGGCAACCUGCCCCUCACUUCGGGAUAACUCCGGGAAACCGGGGCUAAUACCGGAUAUGACCUCCUUGGGCAUCCUUGGAGGUGGAAAGUUUUUCGGUGAGGGAUGGGCCCGCGGCCUAUCAGCUUGUUGGUGAGGUAGUGGCUCACCAAGGCGACGACGGGUAGCCGGCCUGAGAGGGCGACCGGCCACACUGGGACUGAGACACGGCCCAGACUCCUACGGGAGGCAGCAGUGGGGAAUAUUGCGCAAUGGGCGAAAGCCUGACGCAGCAACGCCGCGUGCGGGAUGACGGCCUUCGGGUUGUAAACCGCUUUCAGCAGGGAAGAAGCCGCAAGGUGACGGUACCUGCAGAAGAAGCACCGGCUAACUUCGUGCCAGCCGCCGCAGUAA